UGAUCUUCUUAAUUACAUCAAAGGGUGAAUUAGUAAUUCUUCAAGACAGGAAACAAGAUAAAACAUAGAAAUAAUAGAUAAAACAUUAAAGGAAAAAGUUAUCAACAAUCAACACUUUGGAGGUCAGGUUUACGUCCCCUACCUUUCAUUCAAAUUUGCUUAAUUCUACAUAUCAAGUAGGGGUCGAUGUUAUCGAUCAACAUAAUGGAAACAGCUGAGGACGGAGAAACGGCAAAGACCAGCAAUAAGCCUCCACCACCCGCUCAUUCGCCGCCAUCUGAAGAACUAUCUUCUUCAACAUCCUGGCAGGGCAAAACACCACCCGCCAGUGCACCACCUGGCGCGACGCCAUGCAGAACCCUCUUUUCUUGUUUCCCAGCCGUACCGUGCUGCCCUUCCUCCUCCUCUUACGGUGGCGCGUCCGGCACCACCCCAGGACCACGGCGAUGUUAGAAAAGAGAGAGAUAGUGAUGCCUCUCUUAAGCAUUUGCUUAGUUUUUG
This 501-nucleotide long non-coding RNA is filed under the name Olea europaea subsp. europaea. Lineage: Eukaryota; Viridiplantae; Streptophyta; Magnoliopsida; Lamiales; Oleaceae. The record is from RNAcentral.